This 359-nucleotide ribosomal RNA is filed under the name uncultured bacterium. RNAcentral's name for it is "bacterial SSU rRNA". It matches the Rfam family "Bacterial small subunit ribosomal RNA", at positions 8 to 353 of the family's 1533-position model. The record is from RNAcentral.
AGAGUUUGAUCAUGGCUCAGGAUGAACGCUAGCUACAGGCUUAACACAUGCAAGUCGAGGGGAAACGAUAUUGGAAGCUUGCUUCCGAUAGGCGUCGACCGGCGCACGGGUGAGUAACGCGUAUCCAACCUGCCCACCACUUGGGGAUAACCUUGCGAAAGUAAGACUAAUACCCAAUGAUAUCUCUAGAAGACAUCUGAAAGAGAUUAAAGAUUUAUCGGUGAUGGAUGGGGAUGCGUCUGAUUAGCUUGUUGGCGGGGUAACGGGCCCACCAAGGCGACGAUCAGUAGGGGUUCUGAGAGGAAGGUCCCCCACCAUUGGAACUGGGACACGGUCCAAACUCCUACGGGAGGGCAGCA